This 253-nucleotide ribosomal RNA is filed under the name uncultured bacterium. RNAcentral's name for it is "partial 16S ribosomal RNA". It matches the Rfam family "Bacterial small subunit ribosomal RNA", at positions 524 to 776 of the family's 1533-position model. The record is from RNAcentral.
UACGGAGGGGGCUAGCGUUGUUCGGAAUUACUGGGCGUAAAGCGCUCGCAGGCGGCUUGAUACGUCGGGGGUGAAAUCCCGGGGCUCAACCUCGGAAUUGCCUUCGAUACUGUCUAUCUAGAGUCCGGGAGAGGUGAGUGGAAUUCCUAGUGUAGAGGUGAAAUUCGUAGAUAUUAGGAAGAACACCAGUGGCGAAGGCGGCUCACUGGCCCGGUACUGACGCUCAUGAGCGAAAGCGUGGGGAGCAAACAGG